GCCAGCGUGGUGUAGUGGUUUGAGUGCUGGACUAUGACUCUGGAGAUCAGGGUUUGAUUCCCUGCUGGGCC
RNAcentral lists this transfer RNA (71 nucleotides) under Phrynosoma platyrhinos (Desert horned lizard). Its description in RNAcentral is "tRNA-OTHER". The record is from RNAcentral. Lineage: Eukaryota; Metazoa; Chordata; Lepidosauria; Squamata; Phrynosomatidae.